This 223-nucleotide ribosomal RNA is filed under the name uncultured bacterium. Its description in RNAcentral is "partial 16S ribosomal RNA". It matches the Rfam family "Bacterial small subunit ribosomal RNA", at positions 28 to 238 of the family's 1533-position model. The record is from RNAcentral.
GAUGAACGCUGGCGGCGUGCCUAAUACAUGCAAGUCGAACGAAGAGACUUUAAAAGCUUGCUUUUGAAGAAUCUUAGUGGCGAACGGGUGAGUAAUACAUAAGCAACCUGCCUCAAUGCCUGGGAUAACUGAUGGAAACGUCAGCUAAUACCGGAUAGGUUAAUCUAAGGCAUCUUAGAUUAAUUAAAGAUGGGAUACAUCACAAUGAGAUGGGCUUAUGGCG